ACGCCGAUGGUGAAGUGGUUAUCAUGCUUGCCUUCCAUUUCAUGUGUAGCAAGCGGCACGGGUUCGAUUCCCGUUCGGCGUA
This is a transfer RNA of Dichomitus squalens LYAD-421 SS1, 82 nucleotides long. It matches the Rfam family "tRNA". From Rfam's summary of the family: Transfer RNA (tRNA) molecules are approximately 80 nucleotides in length. Their secondary structure includes four short double-helical elements and three loops (D, anti-codon, and T loops). Further hydrogen bonds mediate the characteristic L-shaped molecular structure. tRNAs have two regions of fundamental functional importance: the anti-codon, which is responsible for specific mRNA codon recognition, and the 3' end, to which the tRNAs corresponding amino acid is attached (by aminoacyl-tRNA synthetases). tRNAs cope with the degeneracy of the genetic code in two manners: having more than one tRNA (with a specific anti-codon) for a particular amino acid; and 'wobble' base-pairing, i.e. permitting non-standard base-pairing at the 3rd anti-codon position. NCBI's taxonomy places the organism in Eukaryota, Fungi, Basidiomycota, Agaricomycetes, Polyporales, Polyporaceae. The record is from Rfam.